UCGUCUCGCCGUCCACGCAGCUGCCUGCCUGACUUCUGCGCCGACGUGUCCCCAGCCUUUGGAACGCCGCGUGCCAUGCCGCUGCUAUGCUGCCGUCGCUGCGUGCCUCUUCGUGGCCGCCGCUCGCGUUGAAUCUCUUUCGCUCUCGUUUGUUUUUCUUGCUUUUCGUCGUCUCCGUCUUUGCUCUUCUCUGUCGCCUAUAUCGUUGAGGUUGGAAUUGCUUUCUGCUCUUUGCGAUUUGCUGCGUUCCGCCGCGUUGCGCCGGCCUCCACCAUGCGGCACCUCCUCCGGGAGCCGGCGGUUUUCAGACGAAGCGGCUCACCGGUGACAGUGCCAGCUCCGGUAUCACGACGCAGCCGGCGGGGCCGUUCAGCUGCCAAAACAUAAACACAUCGCUCCUCUCCUCGUGGCUGCCUUCCUCGCAGCGCACCGCUCCUCUCAGCCCCGUAUGCAGCGGCGCCGUCCAACCUUGCCACCUCGGUGCCUCCGCUCCGACGGUUUGUCGUCUUUCCCGGCACCCGCCAAGCCCGAGCCACCUCUCCCUUAAUGAUCAACGUUCUCGCCUCGCACGUUUUCUGCUUGGUAUGGGACCCUUGCGCUAGCCAACAGCUGAUGUAGCAUCGCAGCUCACCGGCGGGGUUAUGCUGCAUCACAGAGGCAAAGCUUACUGGCAGGGAUGGCUCACCGGAGAAGGCGGGGCUACGCUACGGCAAUGCAGCUCACGAAUGGGGACAGCACGUCUCACUGCCAAGGCAUGCGAUGCAGCUGCUGCAUCCUAUCCAAUUCUAUCACCCGUUGCUUUCAAGUGGCUCGUCCUGUUAUCUAUUGGAGAUGCACACCAUGUGCUUGAUGAUUUGCUUAUGAGAUGUGGCCUUGUGCCAUGCCAUGGAGCCACACAAUUUGUUUGAUGGUUUGCCUCUGCAAUACUGGCCAGCCAAAUACGGAUGCUCAGGUUUCUGCAAAAAUAAGAAUGAAAUUGACUACAACUGCAGCUGACAAGGAGUCCUACUUGAUGAAGAGGCAUCAGGCUACAUGCCUUGCCUAAGGUAACAAUGAUAGCUCAAGAACAUGAAUUUUAUUUAUGAAGCAGUAACUUUAGCAAUAUGAAAGUACCUUGGACAUGAUGCUCCUAUAUAUGUCGAUUAGAAGUACUGCAUAUAGAUUAUUCUAAACUGCUUACCUAUAGCUAUUUCAAUCACACUACAUCAUCUGAUCGAACUUAUAUACUUUUACAAUUUUCUCCCCACGCCACACUAUAUGUUCAUGACCUGUCUCUUUUCAUUUGAAAAUCGAAAGUAAAUAUGUAUAUAGUUAAUACUCUAUUUUGUUGGCUCAAAAUAUAGUGCAAGAGUAUAUAUACUCGGCCUCUUUGCUUCUUUUGAGUUGGCCCAAGAAUAUCUUUCUUUUAUUUUAUUUUAUUUUAUUUGUGACGGAUUAUUAGUUCAACAAACCAGGUCCCUGUAGGGGCAGUGCUUUUGUUUUAUGCAUAUAUAUUCUACCUUUUUCAUUUGUAAGAUACGAUUUUGCUUUAUGAAAAGCUACUGUAUAUGGAGUUCAGCAAAAAGGAAAACAGAAUAGGUACAUUUGAAGACCCUACUUGCUAUGCUCAUCCUUUGUCUUCGAUGUUCAGAAAUGAAGCGGAGGUAGAGGAGUUUGAGUGUGUUCAAGUUCAGAACUCCAGAUGCUAUUUGAAUGCUUGAGACUGGCAACAGAUCAAACCAUAUAACCAACCAUCUUUCCUUCGCCUUUUGGUGUAUGAUUAGAAAAGCUGGCCACAAGUGAAGAUGUUCUAAUGUGUGUGUUUCUAGGAUGAUUGUUUGUUCCCCCAUAAACAGCAAGCAAGGAAAAGGGAAAGAAAACAGAGGAACAAAUAGCCUCAACAUUUAGACGUGAUUCAAAGAAAGAUACCAUGCAAAGAUAUCAUUUGGCAGGAAUAACUUUUGUAGCAGUUUAGAAAUACCAGGUAGCUAUGAGAUGCAUCACAAAGCAUAUCUUUUUUUUCUACUGCUCUUGGACCUCUGAAAUAUCAAUUGAGAAUGUUUUCUUUUGAUAAUCAAACAAUCCAUUGGCA
Panicum virgatum (switchgrass) is the source of this 2071-nucleotide long non-coding RNA. RefSeq lists it as uncharacterized. Lineage: Eukaryota; Viridiplantae; Streptophyta; Magnoliopsida; Poales; Poaceae. The record is from RefSeq and is a predicted model, not a curated record. The transcript is spliced from 2 exons.